GGAAGCGUGGCCGAGUGGUCGAAGGCGGCGGUCUUGAAAACCGCAGUGCCGCAAGGCACCAGGGGUUCGAAUCCUCUCGCUUCCGCCA
RNAcentral lists this transfer RNA (88 nucleotides) under Candidatus Zixiibacteriota bacterium. RNAcentral describes it as "tRNA-Ser". It matches the Rfam family "tRNA". Rfam says of the family: Transfer RNA (tRNA) molecules are approximately 80 nucleotides in length. Their secondary structure includes four short double-helical elements and three loops (D, anti-codon, and T loops). Further hydrogen bonds mediate the characteristic L-shaped molecular structure. tRNAs have two regions of fundamental functional importance: the anti-codon, which is responsible for specific mRNA codon recognition, and the 3' end, to which the tRNAs corresponding amino acid is attached (by aminoacyl-tRNA synthetases). tRNAs cope with the degeneracy of the genetic code in two manners: having more than one tRNA (with a specific anti-codon) for a particular amino acid; and 'wobble' base-pairing, i.e. permitting non-standard base-pairing at the 3rd anti-codon position. The record is from RNAcentral. RNAcentral also lists the same sequence under 1 other name. Lineage: Bacteria; Pseudomonadati; Candidatus Zixiibacteriota.